AGAGACAGUUACGCAGUAGCAGUCAUCCUCCGUAGAGGGCGCUCUAGUUUGGAGCGCCAUCCCUGAGAAACACAUUCCUUUUACGGUUUUCCAAAGAUUUUUUAGUUUGUGGGAAAGUAUUCGACUCUCGAUGGUAUGGUGACCAUCACGGGGCUUCCAAAUCCUGAGCGGACUUUGAUGUUUUUUUUUUUUUUUUGCCCGAUAGUGAUUUUUAUGCACAGCGACGGACCGGCGACGUUCCGGGCAUUAGUGCUUCCCCGUAAUGGAGUGUAGGUCAGAAUAAAGGGAGCAAAAGGAGAAGCCGGAAGUGGCGUUGCAGUUGUGGGUUUUGUCGUUUGUGAGACAAUCUUUGAGUGGAGCCCGGCGGCUAACAGAGCUAGCCACGAGUGGGCCUGGGCGGUGGUGCGGGCGCGGCGAGCGGCACAACGCCAUGUGAGGAAACCCAUGCAAACUCCACACAGUAAGAACCUGAGUCAAACCCAGCUCUCAAACUACAGGUCUGGUCAGGUGGCGGGACCAUUCCCACGGCCCUCUCACUGGCAGACCAUCGAGCACACAAGUGUGUGCCAACAGCCAUUUUGUCUGCUGGAGCAGCCCAAGAGGAACUGGCUCAUCUGUCUGGUGUGCUUUACCCAGGCCUCCCCUGUGGGUGCAAGUGUGAGGUGGGGUGAGGCAAGUGAGUUGUUGUCUCUGGAACUGGUGCAUCAUGACUGUGGAAUACCUCUGUCCACACAGCUGAGUGGGUCCGAGGAGUGAGGUGAGUGCUGCAUACAUGGGGUUCUUGCUUUUGUAGGUGGUUAGAUUUUUUUUUUUUUGUUAAAUAAAUUUUACUCAAAGGACUUACAGGUCCAGAAUACUAAUGGUAAACCUAAGACUCUACAGAACAAAAAAACAGAACAGGGCGUUUUAAAUGUUUCUCUUUUAGUGUAUACUGCCAUUACCCAGGAACUAGUAGUGGUUUCUCAUAGCUCCUGGGCUGUGUCAAGUUGGUUUGUUCUUUUCCUGCUCAUGUGGGUUUCCUCUGGGUGCCCCAGUUUCUUCUUGCAGUUGAAAGAUGUUUCAAGUGAACUGAUGACACUUCCCCCCUUAAUGUGUGAAUUAAUGUAUCUGAUUUUCCAGUAAUGCACUGGCAUCACAUGCACGGUGUUCCCUGCCUCACAUCCUGUGCUUCUGAGAGACUCUGAACCACUCUGACCCUGCACUGCACAGGCAGUUAUUGAUAUUUGGCAGAUGGAUAAGUAUACACUGCCAUUAAGAGAUGUAUUUUUUUAACAAUGGCCUGGCCACCUAUUUAGAGGCAUAUGAUUGCUUGGUCACUAAAAAGAAUUUCCUCAGCACUUUGUGGCUUGACCUAUUGU
Long non-coding RNA from Scleropages formosus (Asian bonytongue), 1358 nucleotides. RefSeq lists it as uncharacterized. The record is from RefSeq and is a predicted model, not a curated record. Lineage: Eukaryota; Metazoa; Chordata; Actinopteri; Osteoglossiformes; Osteoglossidae. The transcript has 3 exons.